CCUACGGGAGGCUGCAGUGGGGAAUAUUGGACAAUGGGGGGAACCCUGAUCCAGCGACGCCGCGUGAGUGAUGACGUAUUUCGGUAUGUAAAGCUCUAUCAGCAGGGAAGUAAGAAAUGACGGUACCUGACUAUGAAGCCUCGGCUAACUACGUGCCAGCAGCCGCGGGAAUACGUAGGGGGCAAGCGUUAUCCGGAUUUACUGGGUGUAAAGGGAGCGUAGACGGCGAUGCAAGUCUGAAGUGAAAGGCGGGGGCCCAACCCCCGGACUGCUUUGGAAACUGUAUGGCUGGAGUGCAGGAGAGGUAAGUGGAAUUCCUAGUGUAGCGGUGAAAUGCGUAGAUAUUAGGAGGAACACCAGUGGCGAAGGCGGCUUACUGGAGUGUAACUGACGUUGAGGCUCGAAAGCGUGGGGAGCAAACAGGAUUAGAUACCCGAGUAGUC
Molecule: ribosomal RNA, 443 nt
Filed under: uncultured bacterium
Lineage: Bacteria
Description: partial 16S ribosomal RNA
Rfam family: Bacterial small subunit ribosomal RNA
Source: RNAcentral